This 90-nucleotide ribozyme is filed under the name Aedes aegypti (yellow fever mosquito). Its description in RNAcentral is "drz-agam-1 ribozyme". It matches the Rfam family "drz-agam-1 ribozyme". Lineage: Eukaryota; Metazoa; Arthropoda; Insecta; Diptera; Culicidae. The record is from Rfam by way of RNAcentral.
UGCCCAGCAACUCCUAUCCCUACCUCCUCGUGGUACUGGCCAGGGUAACCAACCCUGGUGGAAACUUCGAUCGUAUACUAACAGGGAAGG